UUGGCAAAGAGUUGCGCCUCUUUGUACACACGUUUUGAUAUCAAUGACAGUAAAUACGGAUAAUGAACGCCAGUAAUUAUAUGCAAUGAUGACAUGACGCUGCAUUAACAGGUUUUCCAUAGUGACGAGCUAUAGAGAGGAUCAAAAUGGAAACACAGCAUUCAGCCAAGUUCUUCAACUCUUUCUUAGAACAUGUCCAGCUUUUGUGCAAGUCUUACUUAACCUUUGGGGAGGUCGUUGAGGUCAGUGGUUACAUUUGUCUUGACAUUGACAACAGCAAGAAGGAGCGGUACGUUCUCAGUGAGUUGAUUCAGAAACAGGGGCAGACGGUCAGUGAAAGCUUCUGUACCAAGGUGCUGAAGACGGUUCAGGGGGCUGGUGUUAAGAGUGCCCAUCAAACAACAUUGAUGGAUGUGCAAGAUAAGGAGAAUACUCCGAGAGAUGGAUCUGUGACUCAGCACCGAUGUGGUAGCGAGGAGACACAGCAGAAGGAAGACAGUGUCAGGCCACAGUAUGUUUCCAGGCAGAGAAUCAUGGAGUCUGUGUUCCCGAGCCGCGAUGUCAAUGAGAGUGUGAGGCAGGAGGCGAGCAUGUUGAGAAGAGUUGACUCGACUGAACCGACGCACACAGAGCCACUGGACACUGCAGCUCCUGACAGUGCAGGGCAUCAACCGCUCAAAGCGGAGUCAGAUGACCCUGAUGAAAAUAUUGAAAUCAAACAGGAAGUUUGUGAGGAUGAGGUUAUACAAGGCAGUUCUGGGCUUUGUAACCAAGGUAACCGAGGCUCUUGGCUGACCUCUCUAGGAGCCCAACAGUUGAAAGAAAGAAUAAAUAUUGUCAGUAAUGCAAAAAUGUCUUUGCAGAAACAUUCAAGUCAGUCAGUAAGCUCCAGCAGGAUCACCAGGCCUGAGACUCAAGACAGACAGUAUCACGUGCCGCCGAUAUCCACCAUAUUUUCACCAUCAGCAACGGCCACAAGUUCAGUUUCAAACGCAAUGCCUGUGAAUAUGUUGAGACCAGGAAUGUUCAUGACCUCCAGAACAAAUGGUUUGCUGUCAACUUCCAGUGCAACACAAAAUGCAUCCUUUCCUUUCCAGAACGUCAUUGGGAGAGGGCAUAUGGAGGAGUCCAGGUUGGAGGGAGCAGACGUGGACUGGGGUGAAGGUCACGCAGUCGCUGCACAGCAGUCGCUGUUUGGACUCGGUACGAACUACCAGGUGCAUGACUUGAUCAACACGCCUUGCAGAUGGUCUCGCAAGAGGAGAGGAAAUCCAACGUAUCGCGUAAAACAGAACUGGAGAUAUGCUGUGCGUCAGUUUGAGAACUUCCUACGCUUCAAGGGCCAGGAGGUGAUACCAAUUAACACUAUCCCUGCCUCACAGCUGGAUGGCAUGUUGUGCGAGUUCCUCCAGUGGGUCAAGAAGAGUAAUGGGGAGGACUUUCAUCCUUGGUCCAUGAAGAACUUCUUCUAUCAUUUAGAAUGUCACUUGAAGGAGGCUGGGUAUGCUAACUCUAUCACUAAAGACGUGGAAUUUCAGAACUCUCGGGAUGUCCUCAAGAGAAGAAUCACUGAACUCCAGUUGAGGCUUCACCCAUCAAGCCUCUGAAUGUGUCCUUGGUGUCAUACAGGUGCCCAUGGUGUCAUGCAGGUGUCCAUGGUGUCAUGCAUGUGCCCAUGGUGUGCAUGAGGUGUCAUGCAGGUGCCUGUGGUAUCAUGCAGGUGUCAUGAAGGUGUCCAUGGUGUAAUGAAGGUGUCAAUGAUGCCAAGUUGGUGUCAUGCAUGUGCCCAUGGUGUCAUGAAGGUGUCAAUGGUGCCAAGUUGGUGUCAUGCAGGUGUCCAUUGUGUCAUGAAGGUGUCGGUGUCAAUGGCAUCAUGCAGGUGUCCAUGGUGGAUAGCAGGUAUCUGGCAUCUUGUAGAUUUCCAUGGAGUUGUACAUAUUUCCAUAAGAUUCAUGCCCCCCCCCCUUUGUCUGUUUGAAAGGAACAUUAUUAAGCGUGUUGUUCGUGUACAUCAUCAUGUAUAUUAUCAGAGUAAUGAACAAAGAUUUGAAAGAUGUCUGUACAUAAUCUAAACACAAUGUAUGUGUCAUGUUGUGAACUGUGUUGGUGAAAUAAAAUUAAGAUUACUUUAUGAACCAUCCAGGUUUCCCUAGAUUCUAUCAGGUUUGCAAUAGACCAGACAGGUUUCCAUAUUGCUAUUCAGGUUUCCAUGGAGUGAAUCAGGUUUACAUGGAGCCGUGCAGGUGGAGUUUUCGUGGAGUCGUGCAGAUGACCAGAUCAACUGGUGUUUUGUGUUGCCAUGGCUACUGUUGCAUACUGAAAGAAUCCCAUGGAUAUUUUGUUUUCAGGGUUCCAUGCCUAAACUCCAUUGAUUCAGUGCUAUCAUCAGUGUGAUGAGUGCGUAUCUCAUUCUAUCAUUGUGUCUACGUUGUGGUUGACAUGAACAAAAUGUAAAGGACCUCCAAAACAUUUGUGAUAUAUUUUAACAAUUGUUGCCAUGGUUGCAGGACAACCAUCACUGUUUUUGUUUGCGCCAACUGGUUCAACAAGGUCGUGGAAAGGUCAGCAAAAGCCUGAAAAAAGAAUUGUGAUGACAAUCUGCUGAAUAGUUCCAGACAGAUUUCAAGGGGCAAGAAGAGGCUGUGACACUUUGUUACAAAGAAUAAGAAGUUUCAUUAAAAGAGUGUCAUCUAUUCUUCUCGAUUAGAUGUUCAACUCUACGCAUGAUUGUAAUUCAAUAUGUAUUAUAUUAUUAUCAAAAUGAGAAGAUUGAGUAGGUUUUUUCCCACUUUGAUACCGCUCUGAGCUGUUGUGUCCUACACAAGUGAAGGAAAGGAUGUGUAUUUUUUACAGUAGUGUUGUGAAAAGUCAUCCAGGCCUAGUGGUAUGUUUUAUUCAGAAAGUGUACAUGUUGAAAUUUGCCAAAUCUGAAAGAGCAAUAUUUGUGUUUCAUAAGUGUAUGCACCAUGUAUGAUAUAUAUUAGUUCUAGGUAACCUUACAAUGUGUUAUUUGGUUGAUUAUUAGCGUAAGCUAUACGAUGAGUUCCUGAAAUAUAUACUAGUUGUAAGAGAUAA
This 3075-nucleotide unclassified non-coding RNA is filed under the name Haliotis rubra (blacklip abalone). RNAcentral's name for it is "uncharacterized LOC124287854, transcript variant X1". The record is from RNAcentral. Lineage: Eukaryota; Metazoa; Mollusca; Gastropoda; Lepetellida; Haliotidae.